UACGAAGGUCCCAAGCGUUAUCCGGAUUUAUUGGGUUUAAAGGGUGCGUAGGCGGGCUAUUAAGUCAGUGGUGAAAGCCUCAAGCUUAACUUGAGAAUUGCCAUUGAUACUGAUGACCUUGAGUACAUUUGAAGUGGGCGGAAUGUGUCAUGUAGCGGUGAAAUGCUUAGAUAUGACACAGAACACCGAUUGCGAAGGCAGCUGACGAAACUGUAACUGACGCUGAUGCACGAAAGCGUGGGGAUCAAACAGG
RNAcentral lists this ribosomal RNA (253 nucleotides) under uncultured bacterium. RNAcentral describes it as "partial 16S ribosomal RNA". It matches the Rfam family "Bacterial small subunit ribosomal RNA", at positions 524 to 776 of the family's 1533-position model. The record is from RNAcentral.